AUGCCAGCUGGGGCACGCGAGGUGUACCCUUACGACGCCCUCAUCGUCACAAACCAGAUCCGCGUGAAGCUGCCCAAGGAUGUGGACCGGACGAGGCUGGAGGUACCGGGGGCCCCGGGGUGCUCUGGCCGUGUCACGGGGCAGGCGUGUGCGAUGAUGUCGAGUGCUGGGAGCCGUCUGUUCCCGGGGGGCCCCGGGGUGCUCUGGCCGUGUCACAGGGCAAGCGUGUGUGACGGUGCCGAGCGCCGGGAGCCGUCUGUUCCCCGGCUGCAGAUGUCCCGGCUCCCAGGGUCUGCAGUGGGAAAGCGUCUGUGGUCGCGGAGCAUGAUGGCCCAUUUGCCGGAGUCCAGGGAGGUUGAUACAGAGGGGUGCAGACGGGUAGAACUGCGUGAGCACCUACUGUGUGCACCGAGCACCAAGGGCCGUGCUUGAGUGUGUGAGCAACUACUGUGUGCACCGAGAGCUGAGGGCCGUGCGUGAAUGUGCGAGCACCUACUGUGCGCACUGAGAACUGAGGGCCAUGCGUGAGUGUGUGAGCGCCUACUGUGUGCGUACCAUGUGCAGGACUUUGAUGAAUUCUCGCGACCCUCACAGGGAACACAGCACCCAGCCCCGGGGAGUUCACGUCCGGGCCCUUCCUUCAGUGUCUCGGGCCUGCUCCUGACUUGUGGGGGCGAGGGGCCUCGGGCUCCCAAAGGGCAGGGCCCUCGGCUGAGAGUACGCGAGGCCGUGUGCACCGGGCCAGCUGCCAGCCCCGCGGGCUCGGGGACGGGCGGGGCGCGUGAGCAGCAGGGCUGGGGCUGGGGUCCCGUCUGUGCAGGGGAGGCUCUGGACGGACAGAGGGAGAGCGUGGGAGUGUGUCCAGGCCCGGGGAGGCUGCACAGUGCCCCUGAGCCUCUGCAGUGAGGACUCCCAAGGGAGUCACCCUGCGCUCAGCACAGGGGCGGCGGGGGAGGGGGAGGCGUCCCUGGGCAGGAGGCGCGCCCACCCGACCCUCUGUAUUGCAAACAGCAGGAGCCUGGCACGAAGUGACCACAGCCAAGAGGGGACCGCCCGACUCCCGGGACCCGAGGGCCCCCCAGCCCGAGGCAGCUGGAGCAGGGGCCACACUGGGUCAGGCCCCGGGGCCUCCCAGUGUCUCUGCCCUGUGCCUCCUUGGCUGAGUUGUGGCUGCCUUUGUCCACUCCUGGACUCAGAACUCAUGGGGAGUCAACCCUCUCCCCUAACCUCUCCCUCUCCC
RNAcentral lists this long non-coding RNA (1240 nucleotides) under Oryctolagus cuniculus (rabbit). RNAcentral describes it as "lncRNA (ENSOCUG00000029981.1)". Lineage: Eukaryota; Metazoa; Chordata; Mammalia; Lagomorpha; Leporidae. The record is from RNAcentral.